This 301-nucleotide ribosomal RNA is filed under the name uncultured bacterium. RNAcentral's name for it is "partial 16S ribosomal RNA". It matches the Rfam family "Bacterial small subunit ribosomal RNA", at positions 509 to 807 of the family's 1533-position model. The record is from RNAcentral.
CAGCAGCCGCGGUAAUACGUAGGUGGCAAGCGUUGUCCGGAAUUAUUGGGCGUAAAGGGCUCGCAGGCGGUUUCUUAAGUCUGAUGUGAAAGCCCCCGGCUCAACCGGGGAGGGUCAUCGGAAACUGGGAAACUUGAGUGCAGAAGAGGAGAGUGGAAUUCCACGUGUAGCGGUGAAAUGCGUAGAGAUGUGGAGGAACACCAGUGGCGAAGGCGACUCUCUGGUCUGUAACUGACGUUGAGGAGCGAAAGCGUGGGGAGCGAACAGGAUUAGAUACCCCUGUAGUCCCUGUCUCUUAUAC